Molecule: transfer RNA, 87 nt
Filed under: Auxenochlorella pyrenoidosa
Lineage: Eukaryota; Viridiplantae; Chlorophyta; Trebouxiophyceae; Chlorellales; Chlorellaceae
Also listed under: 1 other name
Description: tRNA-Ser
Rfam family: tRNA
About the family: Transfer RNA (tRNA) molecules are approximately 80 nucleotides in length. Their secondary structure includes four short double-helical elements and three loops (D, anti-codon, and T loops). Further hydrogen bonds mediate the characteristic L-shaped molecular structure. tRNAs have two regions of fundamental functional importance: the anti-codon, which is responsible for specific mRNA codon recognition, and the 3' end, to which the tRNAs corresponding amino acid is attached (by aminoacyl-tRNA synthetases). tRNAs cope with the degeneracy of the genetic code in two manners: having more than one tRNA (with a specific anti-codon) for a particular amino acid; and 'wobble' base-pairing, i.e. permitting non-standard base-pairing at the 3rd anti-codon position.
Source: RNAcentral
GGAAAGAUGUCCGAGUGGUUGAAGGUGUAGAUCUGGAACGUCUAUAUGGUAGUAAUAUCAUCGAGGGUUCGAAUCCCUCUCUUUCCG